RNAcentral lists this transfer RNA (74 nucleotides) under Camelus bactrianus (Bactrian camel). It matches the Rfam family "tRNA". From Rfam's summary of the family: Transfer RNA (tRNA) molecules are approximately 80 nucleotides in length. Their secondary structure includes four short double-helical elements and three loops (D, anti-codon, and T loops). RNAcentral also lists the same sequence under 2 other names. The record is from Rfam by way of RNAcentral. Lineage: Eukaryota; Metazoa; Chordata; Mammalia; Artiodactyla; Camelidae.
AGAGGAACAGCUCAAAGUGGUAGAGUGCAUGGUUAGCAUGCAUGAGGUUCUGGGUUCAAUCCCCAGUACCUCCU